This 253-nucleotide ribosomal RNA is filed under the name uncultured bacterium. RNAcentral's name for it is "partial 16S ribosomal RNA". It matches the Rfam family "Bacterial small subunit ribosomal RNA", at positions 524 to 776 of the family's 1533-position model. The record is from RNAcentral.
GGCGAAGGGGGCUAGCGUUGUUCGGAAUUACUGGGCGUAAAGCGCGUGUAGGUGGUUGUCCAAGUUGGAUGUGAAAGCCUUGAGCUCAACUCAAGAAAUGCAUUCAGGACUGGGCGGCUAGAGGACCGGAGAGGAUAGUGGAAUUCCCAGUGUAGUGGUGAAAUACGUAGAGAUUGGGAAGAACACCAGUGGCGAAGGCGGCUAUCUGGACGGUUUCUGACACUAAGACUCGAAAGCGUGGGGAGCAAACAGG